RNAcentral lists this ribosomal RNA (420 nucleotides) under uncultured bacterium. RNAcentral's name for it is "bacterial SSU rRNA". It matches the Rfam family "Bacterial small subunit ribosomal RNA", at positions 32 to 438 of the family's 1533-position model. The record is from RNAcentral.
AAUCAACGCUGGCGGCGUGCCUAGCACAUGCAAGUCGAACGCGAGAGGGGCUUCGGCCCUGAUUGAGUGGCAAACGGGUGAGUAACGCGUGGGUGACCUACCUUCGAGUGGGGGAUAACGUUCCGAAAGGGACGCUAAUACCGCAUAACAUCCUGUCUUUGGACAGAUGGAGAUCAAAGCCGGGAUCGUAAGACCUGGCGCUUGAGGAGGGGCCCGCGUCCGAUUAGCUAGNGGUGGGGUAAUGGCUCACCAAGGCAACGAUCGGUAGCCGGCCUGAGAGGGCGGACGGCCACACUGGGACUGAGACACGGCCCAGACUCCUACGGGAGGCAGCAGUGGGGAAUUGUUCGCAAUGGGCGCAAGCCUGACGACGCAACGCCGCGUGAAGGAUGAAGGUCUUCGGAUUGUAAACCUCUGUUG